UGCAGUCGAGCGGACCAAUAGAAAAGCUUGCUUUUCUUGAGGUUAGCGGCGGACGGGUGAGUAACACGUGGGCAACCUACCUGUAAGACUGGGAUAACUUACGGAAACGUGAGCUAAUACCGGAUAGUUUCACUUCUCGCAUGAGAAGUGAAGGAAAGAUGGCUUUUAGCUAUCACUUACAGAUGGGCCCGCGGCGCAUUAGCUAGUUGGUGGGGUAAAGGCCUACCAAGGCAACGAUGCGUAGCCGACCUGAGAGGGUGAUCGGCCACACUGGGACUGAGACACGGCCCAGACUCCUACGGGAGGCAGCAGUAGGGAAUCUUCCGCAAUGGACGAAAGUCUGACGGAGCAACGCCGCGUGAGCGAAGAAGGUCUUCGGAUCGUAAAGCUCUGUUGUUAGGGAAGAACAAGUACCGGAGUAACUGUCGGUACCUUGACGGUACCUAACCAGAAAGCCACGGCUAACUACGUGCCAGCAGCCGCGGUAAUACGUAGGUGGCAAGCGUUGUCCGGAAUCAUUGGGCGUAAAGCGCGCGCAGGCGGUCCUUUAAGUCUGAUGUGAAAUCUUGCGGCUCAACCGUAAGCGGUCAUUGGAAACUGGGGGACUUGAGUGCAGGAGAGGAAAGCGGAAUUCCAUGUGUAGCGGUGAAAUGCGUAGAGAUAUGGAGGAACACCAGUGGCGAAGGCGGCUUUCUGGCCUGUAACUGACGCUGAGGCGCG
Molecule: ribosomal RNA, 720 nt
Filed under: Pallidibacillus thermolactis
Lineage: Bacteria; Bacillati; Bacillota; Bacilli; Caryophanales; Bacillaceae
Description: bacterial SSU rRNA
Rfam family: Bacterial small subunit ribosomal RNA
Source: RNAcentral